Molecule: RNA transcript, 5037 nt
Organism: Varroa destructor (honeybee mite)
Lineage: Eukaryota; Metazoa; Arthropoda; Arachnida; Mesostigmata; Varroidae
Gene: Ddrgk1
Gene name: DDRGK domain containing 1
Source: RefSeq, a predicted model, not a curated record
AUGCAUAUGUGUCGGUUCCUCUCUUAGGUGUCGAUUUGUGUUUCCAUCUUCACUUGUGGGCUUCACCCGUCGGCCGUGUUUUCGAAGAGCCCGCAACACUAUACUGAUUGUGUUUUGUUGAUUGUCGCGCCAGUGGGGAGCACCAGCUGUUUUGUCUGGCAAAGUGAUCCUAGUAGCGCUGAAUUAAACGAAUGAUUUUGACUUAGAUAAUUCCAGCUGGAUAUACAGAUUUUCGUCCCGCUCAAGCCGCCGCAAAGAACAAUCUUCAUAAAGGCGAACAAUGCCGACUGACACGCUUUUGCUAGCGAUUGCAGCGGUUAUAUCCAUCGCUGCUAUCGGCUUUUUACUUUUGUUUCUACUUAGGAGGUCCCAGAACAGCGAUGACACACCCGAUCGACCUCGACUCAGACCUGCUCAAAUGAACCGUGCUGACGACGAAGUAAUGCGACGUCCAAUUCGUGCUCGAGGCAUCCGAAACCGAAUGACUCGUGAACUCUUCGAGGAAGAGGCUGUUCGGGAACGAGAAGAACGCUUAAGGGAAGUUUUUGAAGAAAAUGACGUUGAUAUGCCUACAGGGAAAGUUGGUACCAAAAAAUUACGCAAACUUGAGGAAAAAGCCGAAAAGCGUCGCCUCCGAGAAUUAGAGCUUCAAGAAAGAGAGGAACGAGCUCAGAAACAGGCUGAGGAGGACGAAUACCGCAAAAAAGUAGAGCAGAAAAAGGAGGAUGAACAAAAACAAAAAGAAGAAGAGGAACGGAGACAGAAAGAGGAGAAAGAACGUCGUGAACACGAAGAGUAUCUGAAAAUGAAGGCGGCCUUCGCCGUUGAAGAAGAAGGCUUUGAUCAGGAAGACGACCCUAACUCGUCGCAGAAGUUGCACGAGUUCAUCACGUAUAUCAAUGAACAUAAAGUUGUCCAACUUGAAAAUCUUGCCGCUCAGUUUAGGAUGAAGACGCAGGAUUGUAUUGACAGAGUUCAGCGUCUAUUAGAAGAUGAGAGUCUAUGCGGCGUUAUCGACGACCGAGGCAAAUUUAUCGCUAUUACUAGAGACGAACUGGAUGAGGUAGCUCGUUUUAUCAAGGUGCGUGGUCGCGUUUCUAUACAGGAACUCGUCGAAAAUAGCAAUCGUCUUAUUAACCUUGCGUCCGUGUCUACAUAAAGUAUAGCCGAAGUGUCAACAGAGCUCAAUAUUAUACUGCUGAGCUAGCCGAAAGUAAAGAGUUUGGAGCUUUGAAGGUAGAAGGAAACUGGGAGAUACGGAAAAAGUUUUAAGCUGUGACUAGAGAAAACGUAUACCGUAGAGGCGCGCAACCUUAAGCCAGGAACCAUGUGUGGAUAAAACUCUGGAUAAGACAAACAGGAUCGACAAAAUAACUUAUAUUUUUCAUUAUGUUGUUCUGCACGCGUCCUGCUACUGCACUAUUCGAUUUUACCGAUAUAUAUGACAAUCGCAUACGGCGAAGCAAAAGUUAGCGAUAAUCGGCCUAGACGAAGCCUGUCAAUCAUGAAUGAAAGUAAAAAAAAAAAUAAUUUUCCUUCGUUAACUAUACAUUACACCUUCUUCAAGAUAUAAUGUUCUCAGGUAAAAAAAAUAAUUACUGGAAAUUAUCCUCAGAUACUGUUCAAGUGUUUGUACAGCAAUAUGAAUUAGUUAAGUAUAUAAUGACAGUUGUACGCCCUUUGACCUAGCAAAGUACAUGGAUAUGCUAAGAUAAAGGCGUGUGAAAUGUUGCUGGUCGUCGUAUGGAAGCGGUGUUACGGCAGUGCUAUUUUUAAACGCCGGUAAAACGAAGCUACGAAAAUGAGUAAGAAGUUAGUUUGCAUUUGAUCAUCGCGCUGUUGUUCGUCUACGAAUUAGGCACUGCGGAAACAGAAUGAAAAAAGCUUAAACCUUUAUAAGUAAAGGUUUGAGUUUUUGAAGAACAAGUUACACCAUAAGCAACAAACAUUGUCACAUGUAGACAUGUUUCACAUGUACAAUCACACAGAUGUAGCACAUCACACAGCUUAAAUAGUUAUGUUUCUACUGUUGCGACCUUGAUGCGCAAAAUACGCAGGCAUAAAUGUGGGGAACUCGUGACGCAACUACAUAAUUUUAGGAUAGAUAUUGUUACCUCAGAAUAAUGAACGACACAGAAAAGGAGCCAAUUUAUUUUUGCAAAAUGGCUACUAAACAACGGAUUCGUUGUUUGCAAAAAAAAAAAAAUACUUAACAAUAAAUCCUAAAUUCAGAUACAUUCCAAAUGUUGCAGAUUGAUUUUGAGUUAUCGUAUUAAAUAUGUUAAAGAAAUUUCGUCAGACCAGGCAGAUGGACAAAGAUGACAUAUCCUCGAGUCUUUCUUAUUAUAUGGAAACUCGGGGUCCAUAAUUUAGGAUUUUUGUUUGAUUCCUCCUAAACGAAAUUUUUCAAGUUCUUGCAGAACAGGACAACAAGUAGGGGUCCAGGUACCAUUAUCUAGUCUUUCGAGUACACGGUGAGGACUUUUAGAAAUUAUGGAUCUUUCCGGUGUCACAUACAACUGAAGAUCGGGGAUGUAGUAAUCGGCGAAACGCGCCAUCGUGAUCAUUAUUAUUAACUCAUGCAAGAAACAGCCUGCUAACGUAAGCUGUAAUCUUCGAUUUAUCGUACUCGGUCUUACCUAUCUUCUAUACUGUUGACUACAACGCUAAAAAAAGACACUCUCUUGAUACUAUACAAAGUUUUAUUAUUUUUUGCUGUUAUGAUUAGCAUCGUCGUAUCCACGAUGUGGCCACACGGAGAGGGGGGUUUUUCAUCACUUAUGUAUAUGUAUAUAUAUAUGAAUUGGCUUUGGUCUUAUGAUAUAUAACCUAGUUUAGUCGGGUCAGGCGUAAAUUUGAUGAAGCGUCAUUAUGGUCAACUCAUGGUUCCACGGAACUCGUACGUAAUGCAUCGUUUUCUUCUCUAUUUAGAAAACCGUCUGUUUCCUUGUUUGUUCAGUUGAAUCAAUAUUUUCUACUUUCCACAUUUAUUGACUACUUGAUUUCUCGAAGCAACAAUGAUCCGGCACUCCUCUGACAAUACUGCCCAUUCGUUACACCUUCACCACGAAGAAUAUUCAUUAUGGUAAUCCUGUUAUUCGAAGAAGAUAUACACAACAUUUUCGUAUCAUAAAGGGUUUCGUUUCUCUGGAGAGUCAGAUAGUCCUCAGGUCGUUUCCUCGUUUGUCAUUUGUCUCUAUUUGAUUCACUUCUCCAAUUGUAGCUCAUCAUCGACUUACUACAGUUAAGUAUUUCCCUACGUACUCUCGACAGCUGAACAAAUGGGACAACGUCAUUAACGGCGCAUGCUAGAACAUGUGGAAGUAGAAUACGAACGCAUAUUUGACAAAAGCAUGUUUGACAAAUGAUAAAUAAUACAGUAGAAAUAAUGAAACGAUACGGAGAACGUCUAGGCUUUCGUUGCAGCGAUUCGUGAGCAUGAUGAAGUCCUUGAUCUUGUAUUCUUCUCAACACGGAGUUCCAUCUUCACUGUACUAAAAAAUCUGAGAAGCCGACGUAAGAUAAACGGAUCGACAAAAAACGAAUAGCACAUUUCACAUAAUUUGCUUCUGCGUUACGCCAGUGAUGUACAUAACAGUGAUACACUGUAUAGAAUAAAGUAAAAUAAUACCACCAUAGAAGAACUUGUUAAUUAAACGAUGACAAAGAGAGCGUUUUAUAGAAGAAAAACUCAAUUGUGCGGAGAACCACAUGAUUUGAAGAUAAGCGAUCAAGCGGUAAUGGCAACCUCUACUGCCAUCAAUACUUAGUCACGAAAGUCGACAAUAUCCCUUUCCCACGCGGAUCAAUGCUAUCAUACUGGAGGCUAUAAAAGCCAAAGCGAAACGUACAUAUUUGUGUAUGUAUGUCACCGUUGGUAAAUGUAAACGAGCAGGAAAACAACCAUUCAGUUAUUGUCCCUAACCUAAGUAACGGAUAGACCAAUAUGAAGUAGUAAGAGAAACAAUAGUAAACUAUCAUACCUCUUUUCGUUUCCGCUGUUUAAGUAAUCAAAUCUUCCUUUAUCCGAAAGAAUCUGAAUCAAGUUCAUAUUUUCGUCCUUACAUAUAUAUCAUGGUCUACAAAAGUGAAGCUCACUUCAUCGAACUUCGUUCAUAGAAAGUUUUCAAGAUUUCUUUCACGUUAGGCAUAUACAUUUUUCUAAUACGUUUGUAUCACUGUGUUUUGUCAUGUUGCAGAUUCUCGGUAGGAUACACAGAUGAGACAUUUAGGUGGGAAAAUCGGCAGUCAGGAAUUAAAAAAGUGCCCUUUUUUUUUAAACUAGUAUCGUCGAUAGGAAUCCAUUCAAUCCUCCAUGAUUCGUUCAGUCACAAUCUCAACAUCAGCUUGUCUGCUUCACAGUCGUUCUUCCUUGAAGAGUAUCAUCUUAAUAUUUCAAUACUUCGCAAUGGUUGUUCUUAUUUCUGUGAGACAGACGCAUAAGUUGUUGCCGUUUAUGUAGAUGGCCUUCCUUUUCUUGAUUUACUGAUCGUCAGAUUUUUUUUGGUAGUUGGUUUAUAACCUAUAAUUUCUCUAUCAUAUCAUUGUUUCAUUUUACAUUUGGUUGUUAUAUUCUUAAAAAAAAAGUCCACUUUAAACAACUUGUAGAACAAAAAAAUGCGUUCAAGCUGCACAAAAGACUUAACCAUCGGUAGAGUAAAAAAAUAAAUAAGGGAAAUACUAAGCAAAAGCGGCAAAACAUUAUGCGUCAAAUUAAUACUUGCUGUCCGAACAACUUGGUAAUCCGGUGUUAAAUAGGUUAAUUAAAUACAACAUCAAACUGAAUCCGAGAUUUAUGGCAGCAGAUUCUGCACAAUAAAUAACACAAGUCCCAUUGAUCGAUUGAGGGUCAGCUUCUCAGAUUUAUUAUGGAAGAAAUCCCAAUCGGUUUCAUCGUCUUUAGCGAUAGCUGUCGCAAUCCUUUCUGUAUCGUGAUGUCCUGACGAAUUUGACAGCGUCCUGCUUGUGUUUUCAGCGAAUUUCACUGAAACAUUUAUAUGCGGCGGUGGCGACCAGGUUUAAUCCGUUUACAAAUAG